This 1162-nucleotide long non-coding RNA is filed under the name Parus major (Great Tit). RNAcentral's name for it is "lncRNA (ENSPMJG00000009373.1)". The record is from RNAcentral. Lineage: Eukaryota; Metazoa; Chordata; Aves; Passeriformes; Paridae.
CAGUCUACAUCAGUCCCGAUUAGAAGAUCUUUUGGGGUUCUUUUUGUAAAUUUUUUCUUAGCUGUAAAGGCUGCUGGUUUGUGAAAACUCAGCUGUUGACAUCAGGGAAAAUCACAUGAAAUUACAUGAAAAUGCGCUGACCUGCAGCAAGUGAUUAAGAGUGUGAUCUAUCACCUCCUCAUGCCAGGAGAGACUGCUUUGGUUAGCACCACUCCCUGCACCUGCAGGAGACACACACACAACUGUUUAUUGAUAAAAAGUGAAGAAAGCCUCAGGGCACAUUUGUGUGGUACACAUCAGACUACAGCAUUAAAAAACUUUGCUCCAAUUCCGCUGCAUUUUGGUCCCAUGCUCAGGGAAGAGCAAAGCAGAGCAACACUGAAUGGACUUUACUAAGGCCAAAGUACAAUGGAAAGGAAAAUGAAUAAACAAACAGAAAAGCACAAUAUCCACUACAGAUGAGAAGCAGCAACAUGACAGCUGUAACUACUAACGAGCAUUAUUCAUGGACAGUUUGCACAAAUCCUUCUUCACUGAUAACAAAAAAAAAACACCCACCGAAACCCCAAACCCACCAACUUAAAUCACACUUGGUUCUUUAUAUAAACAGCUUUGAAGUUGGGGUUUUUUUUGGUUCUGGUGGGUUUUGGAAUGUUUUUGUUGGUUUUAUAUCUGACUCUCCAUUUGCAGCUAUUUGAGGCAUUGCUCUAUAACUGGAUCCAGAUAGUGCGAGCUUCACAUUAGUUAGAAAUAAUCUACAAAAGACAUUACCUGGCUUGUUCAACACAUUUUACAUUUAGAAAAAAAAACACCCAUCAUCUGACUCAACUCCUCAGCGCCCGUCUUUAUUAUUAUUAUAUAGAUCCAAAUGGCACUUUAUCACUUUAAAUUUACUUUGAACGCAAGCCAAGAAAUUCCAGCACUCAGCAUUGCUCUGCAUGCCCCAAGUCAGCCAACUUGCUUGUUAUCAGGAAUGAUGCAUGCAGCGUGUGUGUGUGAGACGGGGGAGGAGGAGGAGGAGAGCCGCUCACGGGGAGGGAGCGGUGUGUAUAUUAAGAGCCCGUGCUGGAGCGCGGUUGCCUUUGAGGGUCGGCACUCGCAGGGACCGCCGUGCACAGAGGAGGGGACCGCGGAGCGCCGCACCGCAAGGCAAAAGGGCUGA